Long non-coding RNA from Gasterosteus aculeatus aculeatus (three-spined stickleback), 1070 nucleotides. NCBI's taxonomy places the organism in Eukaryota, Metazoa, Chordata, Actinopteri, Perciformes, Gasterosteidae. The record is from Ensembl.
AGCAGGCCGGCCGCCGGCGGACGCGCGUGACCUCAGCGCGUGACCUCAGUCCCAGCCUGGUGGCCCUGGAGGUGGACAGCGAGGAGGAGGAGGAGGAGGAGCCACAGUCCCCGCUCUCCCCGCUCUGGUCGGAGGCGGAGAAAAAGGAAGACGAGAGUGAAGGCUCCUCGCCCUCGGCGGACGUCGCCUGCACUUGCAGCCAAUCCGCCUCCUCGGCGAAACAGACGGGUGAGCGUGGGAUUCGACUGCGUUCGUACUCCUACUCCUCCCCCAGAAUCAGCUUCCGUCCCGCCCGUCCGACCCGCGACAGCAACCCGUCGGACCCGAGCCUCGAUGGCGUCCCCCACAGUGUCGGCCACAGCCGCUCUCUCCUUCAGGCGCUCUCUCUGCCUAUGUCUCUGUCUCUCCUCCACCCUGGGAAGCAGAGACCCCCCAUGACGCCAGAGCAGCCGCACGAAAAGAGGUAUUUAUGAUUUCAUUUCACUUUCACUUGUAAAUUGUACUUGUAUUUUGUGUGUUUCUGUAUUGACCUGACUUACUUUGGGCUCCGUCGUAUCAUACGUCAAGAAUGUAAUCCCGUUACUAUGAGCAACGCGUGUGGUAACCAUGACGUCCAGGUUGCUUGGUGACUGGCGGGCGGUUGGUUUAUUUAAAGAACAGCUGGCUGAAUGUGCUUCACGGGUGUUUUCGAUCCCGUCUCCUUUCCAAGAGGAGGUGACGCACAGAUAUCAGCCAGGGUGACUCUGAGCGACCGCCUGGCCGCAGGCAUGACCCAGUGCAUCGUGGGUACACGUCCCGGAGCGCGACGAACGUGCAUUUUGCAGCACUGUGGCCAAUGGCGGUUCGUGGAAAAACUGUAUAAAAUAAAGCAACGGUGCUGCUUUUCAAGGUCUCUGCUCCUGGGGGGGGGGGGGCGAAGUGGCCCGGAAUUAAAAAGAGGAUUUCCGCUCCUCUUCCUGCUCCGCUCGGCCCCUUUUUCACUGAUGCCAAGUGAUAUUUCCUUUACCUCUUCAUGUGCAGCGCCCCCUGGUGGAGGAUACCAGACGCAAUCAAUGCAACUAAUCUUUAUU